AAGUCUGACCUGCCCACUGAAAUUAUUUAAAUGGCCGCAGUAUUCUAACUGUGCAAAGGUAGCAUAAUCAUUAGUCUUUUAAUUGAAGGCUGGUAUGAACGGUUGGACGAGGUAUAAGCUGUUUCAUGUAAAUUUAUAAUAGAAUUUUAUAUUUUAGUUAAAAAGCUAAAAUUUAAUUAAAAGACGAGAAGACCCUAUAAAUCUUUAUAUUUUAUGUUAUUUAAAUUUUUUAGAUUUGUUUUAUUUUUAUAAUUUGAAAUAUUUUGUUGGGGUGAUAUUAAAAUUUAAUGAACUUUUAAUAAUUUAAAAUCAUUAAUUUAUGAUUUAUUGAUCCAUUAAUAGUGAUUAUAAGAUUAAGUUACUUUAGGGAUAACAGCGUAAUUUUUUUGGAGAGUUCAUAUCGAUAAAAAAGUUUGCGACCUCGAUGUUGGAUUAAGAUAUAUUUUUAGGUGUAGUCGCUUAAAU
RNAcentral lists this ribosomal RNA (465 nucleotides) under Bactrocera decurtans. Its description in RNAcentral is "partial large subunit ribosomal RNA". It matches the Rfam family "Bacterial large subunit ribosomal RNA", at positions 1850 to 2568 of the family's 2925-position model. Lineage: Eukaryota; Metazoa; Arthropoda; Insecta; Diptera; Tephritidae. The record is from RNAcentral.